GACGAACGCUGGCGGCGUGCUUAACACAUGCAAGUCGAACGGAAAGGCCCUGCUUUUGUGGGGUGCUCGAGUGGCGAACGGGUGAGUAACACGUGAGUAACCUGCCCUUGACUUUGGGAUAACUUCAGGAAACUGGGGCUAAUACCGGAUAGGAGCUCCUGCUGCAUGGUGGGGGUUGGAAAGUUUCGGCGGUUGGGGAUGGACUCGCGGCUUAUCAGCUUGUUGGUGGGGUAGUGGCUUACCAAAGCUUUGACGGGUAGCCGGCCUGAGAGGGUGACCGGCCACAUUGGGACUGAGAUACGGCCCAGACUCCUACGGGAGGCAGCAGUGGGGAAUAUUGCACAAUGGGCGGAAGCCUGAUGCAGCAACGCCGCGUGCGGGAUGACGGCCUUCGGGUUGUAAACCGCUUUCGCCUGUGACGAAGCGUGGGUGACGGUAAUGGGUAAAGAAGCACCGGCUAACUACGUG
This 468-nucleotide ribosomal RNA is filed under the name uncultured bacterium. RNAcentral's name for it is "partial 16S ribosomal RNA". It matches the Rfam family "Bacterial small subunit ribosomal RNA", at positions 28 to 507 of the family's 1533-position model. The record is from RNAcentral.